RNAcentral lists this long non-coding RNA (2578 nucleotides) under Homo sapiens (human). Its description in RNAcentral is "non-protein coding LINC02367:7". Lineage: Eukaryota; Metazoa; Chordata; Mammalia; Primates; Hominidae. The record is from RNAcentral.
AGCCUAAGUGCCCAAGGAAAUGGAACAGCAGGGAGGGGGAGGGACAUCACACCCACUAUCAAAACUUCUUGUUAGUCUCUGGCUUCCACAUCCUUCCCCAAAACUUCAGCCCAAUUCACAGCCGCAUUUUUCCAUCUCUUUGCCAUUCCUCCAUGGGAGAGCUUUCUGUUGGUACAGGAAUAGCUGAGAAGUGGGAAAGAUCAAGGGUAGUAAGAGCUGCCCCCGAUAAUCUACAGAAAGCUUUGCUGGAAUGAGGUUGUGCAUCUCUGAACCUGAGCUAGAUUUGUUGGGUCAGGGACCAUACUUAUUUACUGGCCCAAGAAUUAGAAGAGGAGGUGUCUAAGAAAUGCUUGUUGAAUGAAUAAAUAAACAGCCGAGUGAGUGUUUAUAUGAGCCUGAAAACUGCCUGCACCAGCACAAAAGUAAAGCCCCAACACCCUCAGGUCACACCUACUGGAAAAAUAUAUGUCAGCCCCAGAAAAAUGUGGGCAACAUGAGGCAACUCCGGAGCAACACAGGAAACUGCCCUCCUCUUCUGGCCCCUCUUCCACUGUGAUGCUCAAAGUCUGUGAUGACCAAGUCUGGUCAUCUAAUCAGCAGGAUAUAAGAGGGUCAUUCUUCACUGCGGCCAUUCCAGUUUCCUGGAAACUUGGCUUUCUCCUGACCGUUUCCCCAGGAGCACGGUGGUGACAAGCUUGAGCUCUGACAUCAGAAAGUCCCCAGUUUGAAACCUCUAGCUUCUUACUCGCUAGCUAUGAGACUUUGGGCAAAUUAAUCUCUAAACCUCAAUUUCUCAAUCUGUAAAAUGUUCAAGGUCAAGCAACUCACUUUUCCACAUUGUAAUUGAUGAAACUAAAAUUCAGACUCAGAUCUGCCUCACUCCACAGUCUGUGCUUUUUCCUUCCCACUCAUCUUUUUCUCUUUCUAUUAAAAAUUUCAUAACACAUUUGAGAUUCUGUCUCAACUCAUAUCACUGAAAUCAUCUGUCACGUCUGAUGAUCAUAUAGAAGCCAGACUAAGAUUCAGCCACAAAUGUUAUGCCUAAACAUUUCUUAUUAUUUCUUUUUAAUGUUUCUCAUGUAUACAAUCAAACUCGCACCCUAGUAUUAUUGGCAGGCUAAUAUAUGCCCAUGAGACAUGUAGCUUAAAUCUCUAUGGGAUAGGAUAAGUAUUCUCCCUUUGUUUGUGAUUUGAAAGCUUUCCAUGGAUGCUAAAGCGAUUUGUUAAAAUACCUUCACCUGUAAGUGUUUUUCCUCUCUUAAAAGCCUAAUUCAUCUCUGAGUUUGUUUACUAAAAUAAUCUAAUUUGCUCAUUUUCUCUAGCCAUUCCAAGCUAAAUCCCAGGAAGUACUAAAGAAGCAAUGCACAGACACAGUAUCAUACAAUUUGAGACACAGUAUUAUAAAAUUGAUGUGAACUUCUAGGCACAGUGUGCUCACAGUCUGUCUGGAAAUAACUUUGUAGCAAGCAUAGUUCCAGUCUAGCUGCCUGGCAGCCUGGCAGGAUAUUAUUAUUACUGAUACUAAUUUACUUUUUAAUGUAAGUCUACCCAGAAUAUAUUAAAGAAGUUUCAAGAAAUCAGGAUCAUGGAUUAUAACCUGACGUAGUGCUAAGGAACCAUCAGUUCCAUGUAAGCAUUUGGUUAGCAAGUCUUUUUCAAAGGCCAUGCUUGAGAAACAGUUUUGCUCUCCCAAACAAUGUGUUGUAGUUUUUUUUAGCAUACUACUGUGCAGAUAAAUAAAUGAGAUAUUAAUGCCAUUGCAAGUUCUGGCUUUGUGUAGAGUUUUCUAGUGAAGCCUGUUUAGGAUCCUGGAUUUGUCCAAGCUGUUCUGAUUAUCCCAUCAUUUUUAACAUGGAUAAUCUACAAUCUUUCAUCUAUUACAUAAAUUGAAUUCUGGCACAAGUUCAACUGCUCUUCAUUGAAACUGAGAAAAAUUUUAGGAUCACUUUGCUGGAAUCCAAAGAAGAUGUUAAAUACUACCAAAAAAAAAAAAAGGCUGAAAACUGGUUUCCAAGAAUCUCUGGGGCAUCCUUAAGAACUCCCCUUGCAUGUUCAUUAGACGGCCCUUUACCCAAUGUAUCUCUAAUAGUCUGCUGAAAAUACUCAAAGGCAAGUAAUUUUCAUGUAAUCAACUAAACAAAAUGUUUAACAAAUAUGGCAAAUAUUAAUAUUUUUAACUGUUUAUGUAAAGUGCAAGAGAGUUAUUGAUUAGGAGAGUAGCUCUGAAGCCGAACAGCCUAGGUCUAAAUCCCGGUUCUUUCAUCAACAAGCUCCAUUACUGUUGAUAAGUUAUUUGAAUUAUCGGUGUCUUAGUAUCUUUCCUUAUAGAGGUGAUGAUUGCUCCUACCUAAUAGCACUGUAGCAAUCAUAUAUGCAGAGCUUAUCACACUAAUUGACAUUCAAAAAUAUUAGCUCUUAAAAAAUUAUUAUUAGAAAUUUGAGAAAAAGAAUCACACUAAAAAAGGAUAAAAGGCAUUGAAAAUAAUUCCCCCAAAAGAAAAUAAAAAUUUCUCAAAUCAUAUAGGACUUAUUUUGUAACAUUAAGAAGAUUCCAAUUAAUUCAAAUUAAAUGGAUGAU